This 562-nucleotide ribosomal RNA is filed under the name uncultured bacterium. RNAcentral's name for it is "bacterial SSU rRNA". It matches the Rfam family "Bacterial small subunit ribosomal RNA", at positions 338 to 915 of the family's 1533-position model. The record is from RNAcentral.
CCUACGGGAGGCAGCAGUGGGGAAUAUUGCACAAUGGGCGAAAGCCUGAUGCAGCGACGCCGCGUGAGGGAUGACGGCCUUCGGGUUGUAAACCUCUUUCAGCAGGGAAGAAGCGAAAGUGACGGUACCUGCAGAAGAAGCGCCGGCUAACUACGUGCCAGCAGCCGCGGUAAUACGUAGGGCGCAAGCGUUGUCCGGAAUUAUUGGGCGUAAAGAGCUCGUAGGCGGCUUGUCACGUCGGAUGUGAAAGCCCGAGGCUUAACCUCGGGUCUGCAUUCGAUACGGGCUAGCUAGAGUGUGGUAGGGGAGAUCGGAAUUCCUGGUGUAGCGGUGAAAUGCGCAGAUAUCAGGAGGAACACCGGUGGCGAAGGCGGAUCUCUGGGCCAUUACUGACGCUGAGGAGCGAAAGCGUGGGGAGCGGAACAGGAUUAGAUACCCUGGUAGUCCACGCCGUAAACGUUGGGAACUAGGUGUUGGCGACAUUCCACGUCGUCGGUGCCGCAGCUAACGCAUAAGUUCCCACUGGGAGUACGGCCGCAAGGCAAACUCAAAGGAAUUGAGG